AUUGAACGCUGGCGGCAGGCCUAACACAUGCAAGUCGAGCGAGCGGCGGACGGGUGAGUAAUGUAUGGGGACUGCCCGAUCGAGGGGGAUAACUACUGGAAACGGUAGCUAAUACCGCAUACUAUCGGAUAACCCAUAUGGGAUUAGCUAGUAGGUGGGGUAAUGGCUCACCUAGGCGACGAUCCCUAGCGGGUCUGAGAGGAUGAUCAGCCACACUGGGACUGAGACACGGCCCAGACUCCGAGGGAGGCAGCAGUGGGGAAUGUGGGACAAUGGGCGCAAGCCUGAUGCAGCCAUGCCGCGUGUAUGAAGAAGGCCCUAGGGUUGUAAAGUACUUUCAGUCGGGAGGCGUUACCGACAGAAGAAGCACCGGCUAACUCCGUGCCAGCCGCCGCGGUAAUUC
Molecule: ribosomal RNA, 403 nt
Filed under: uncultured bacterium
Lineage: Bacteria
Description: partial 16S ribosomal RNA
Rfam family: Bacterial small subunit ribosomal RNA
Source: RNAcentral